CCAAACUUGGUCAUUUAGAGGAAGUAAAAGUCGUAACAAGGUUUCCGUAGGUGAACCUGCGGAAGGAUCAUUAGUGAAAUUUGGGUGUCUCUUACACAGAGAGCCCGCCUUCCACUUUUAACCCUGCGCACUUGACGCUCUCGUCUCGUGCGCUUGUCAGUCGGUCUCGGCUUUUUACGAAGCCGGGCUGGCGAAAAACCAUUUUUAACGCAAGUUGAUGAAUGUAAAUCAAAACCCUAGAACAAACAAAACUUUCAACAACGGAUCUCUUGGCUCUCACAUCGAUGAAGAACGCAGC
RNAcentral lists this unclassified non-coding RNA (298 nucleotides) under uncultured fungus. Its description in RNAcentral is "partial contains small subunit ribosomal RNA, internal transcribed spacer 1, and 5.8S ribosomal RNA". The stretch from base 1 to 73 matches the Rfam family "Eukaryotic small subunit ribosomal RNA", at positions 1759 to 1831 of the family's 1831-position model. Lineage: Eukaryota; Fungi. The record is from RNAcentral.